This 439-nucleotide ribosomal RNA is filed under the name uncultured bacterium. Its description in RNAcentral is "partial 16S ribosomal RNA". It matches the Rfam family "Bacterial small subunit ribosomal RNA", at positions 339 to 795 of the family's 1533-position model. The record is from RNAcentral.
CUACGGGGGGCACCAGUGGGGAAUAUUGCACAAUGGGGGGAACCCUGAUGCAGCAACGCCGCGUGGAGGAAGACGCAUUUCGGUGUGUAAACUCCUUUUAUAUAGGAAGAUAAUGACGGUACUAUAUGAAUAAGCACCGGCUAACUCCGUGCCAGCAGCCGCGGUAAUACGGAGGGUGCAAGCGUUACUCGGAAUCACUGGGCGUAAAGCGCACGCAGGCGGCUAAAUAAGUUGGAAGUGAAAUCCACUGGCUCAACCAGUGAACUGCUUCCAAAACUGUGUGGCUAGAGUCUGGGAGGGGAAGAUGGAAUUAGUGGUGUAGGGGUAAAAUCCGUAGAGAUCACUAGGAAUACCAAAAGCGAAGGCGAUCUUCUGGAACAGUACUGACGCUGAGGUGCGAAAGCGUGGGGAGCAAACGGGAUUAGAUACCCUUGUAGUC